Juglans regia (Persian walnut) is the source of this 712-nucleotide long non-coding RNA. RefSeq lists it as uncharacterized. The record is from RefSeq and is a predicted model, not a curated record. The transcript has 4 exons. Lineage: Eukaryota; Viridiplantae; Streptophyta; Magnoliopsida; Fagales; Juglandaceae.
GUCAGUUUAACAAAAGCUAGAGUUAAUUACAUGUUAGGAAAUGGAAAAAUAAAAGAAAUCAGAUAGUGAAGUGAGAGGUAUCGAAAGGCAUAUUUUCUGUAGUGAAUUUUGGAGAUUAAAGGAUUCCCUCGAAGAACCAUAUUGACAAUACAAUUCUCAGGCUCUUGAGCCAUUUUAUCAAAUAUCUUGUGUGCAUCCCCUUGCUUGUCAUUUGCAGGAGCAUUUCCAUCACUCUGGCCAACUUGUUACAAACAGAUUACACAGGUUAUAUCGGAUUUCUUUGACGCUUAAGUUAUGCAGAGAAGCAAGUGGACGACUACCAGUCCAGAUUGAAGGCUUUGGAGGAGAAUUUUAGCAAAGUUGACUUGCUUAAAUCCUGGAAGGAGAUUUUACCUAUCCAAAGUAUAAUACGGGAGAUCCGAUAUGUGAAUUCUUUGUAUGGACAGAUAUACUUCAGUUGCUAGAAGAGAACAUUUUAUCAAGAGAGAAAUAAGGCUUGGAAAAUGCGGGAUGAUGUAUUAAAGCGCGAGUAUGCCGUUCGCAAAAGGGAAGAUAAAGUGAGAGAGAUGGCGAAAAAUCUGAAAAAUGAAAAGCAAAAGUUAUUAUGUUUGUAUUGUGUUGUCACCUUUGUAAUAAUUUUUGCUUGGUUCGGAUAAAUUUCAUGUAAAAAGUCCUUUCGUUGGAUUAGAUCAUUAAUUGUAGAGGUUCAUUU